GGAUUAGAUACCCUGGUAGUCCACGCUGUAAACGAUGAUUACUCGCUGUUGGCGAUACACUGUCAGCGGCUAAGCGAAAGUGAUAAGUAAUCCACCUGGGGAGUACGUUCGCAAGAAUGAAACUCAAAGGAAUUGACGGGGGCCCGCACAAGCGGUGGAGCAUGUGGUUUAAUUCGAUGAUACGCGAGGAACCUUACCAGGGCUUAAAUGUAGAACGACCGAUUUGGAAACAAGUCUUCUCUUUGAGCGGUCUACAAGGUGCUGCAUGGUUGUCGUCAGCUCGUGCUG
This 288-nucleotide ribosomal RNA is filed under the name uncultured bacterium. Its description in RNAcentral is "partial 16S ribosomal RNA". It matches the Rfam family "Bacterial small subunit ribosomal RNA", at positions 775 to 1067 of the family's 1533-position model. The record is from RNAcentral.